GAACGCACAUUGCGCCCGCCAGUAUUCUGGCGGGCAUGCCUGUUCGAGCGUCAUUUCAACCCUCAGGCCCCGCCUGGCGUUGGGGAUCGGCGCGGCCCUCUCCGGGCUGCCGGCCCCGAAAACUAGUGGCGGUCUCGCUGUAGUCCUCCUCUGCGCAGUAGCAACGCUCGCACUGGAACUCGGCGCGGCCACGCCGUAAAACACCCCACUUCUGAAAGUUGACCUCGGAUCAGGUAGGAAUACCCGCUGAACUUAAG
RNAcentral lists this unclassified non-coding RNA (257 nucleotides) under uncultured Myrothecium. Its description in RNAcentral is "sequence contains 5.8S rRNA gene". The stretch from base 1 to 53 matches the Rfam family "5.8S ribosomal RNA", at positions 102 to 154 of the family's 154-position model. Lineage: Eukaryota; Fungi; Ascomycota; Sordariomycetes; Hypocreales. The record is from RNAcentral.